Molecule: ribosomal RNA, 174 nt
Filed under: uncultured bacterium
Lineage: Bacteria
Description: partial 16S ribosomal RNA
Rfam family: Bacterial small subunit ribosomal RNA
Source: RNAcentral
ACUCCUACGGGAGGCAGCAGUGGGGAAUCUUGCGCAAUGGGCGAAAGCCUGACGCAGCAACGCCGCGUGCGGGAUGAAGGCCUUCGGGUUGUAAACCGCUUUUACCAGGAAGGAAAAUGACAGUACCUGGAGAAUAAGGUGCGGCCAACUACGUGCCAGCAGCCGCGGUAAUAC